ACGGAAAUUGCCAGAGAUGGCUUAGGUGCCUUUCGGGAACCGUGAGACAGGUGCUGCAUGGCUGUCGUCAGCUCGUGUUGUGAAAUGUUGGGUUAAGUCCCGCAACGAGCGCAACCCUUAUCCUUUGUUGCCAGCACGUAAUGGUGGGAACUCAAAGGAGACUGCCGGUGAUAAACCGGAGGAAGGUGGGGAUGACGUCAAGUCAUCAUGGCCCUUACGAGUAGGGCUACACACGUGCUACAAUGGCAUAUACAAAGAGAAGCGAACUCGCGAGAGCAAGCGGACCUCAUAAAGUAUGUCGUAGUCCGGAUUGGAGUCUGCAACUCGACUCCAUGAAGUCGGAAUCGCUAGUAAUCGUAGAUCAGAAUGCUACGGUGAAUACGUUCCCGGGUCUUGUACACCCCCGAA
This 408-nucleotide ribosomal RNA is filed under the name Rahnella sp. OOS112. RNAcentral describes it as "bacterial SSU rRNA". It matches the Rfam family "Bacterial small subunit ribosomal RNA", at positions 990 to 1387 of the family's 1533-position model. Lineage: Bacteria; Pseudomonadati; Pseudomonadota; Gammaproteobacteria; Enterobacterales; Yersiniaceae. The record is from RNAcentral.